Molecule: ribosomal RNA, 254 nt
Filed under: uncultured bacterium
Lineage: Bacteria
Description: partial 16S ribosomal RNA
Rfam family: Bacterial small subunit ribosomal RNA
Source: RNAcentral
UACAGAGGGUGCGAGCGUUGUUCGGAAUUACUGGGCGUAAAGCGCGCGCAGGCGGCCCUUUAAGUCUGACGGUGAAAUGCCGGGGCUCAACCCCGUGCCCGCCGCGGAUACUGGAGGGCUGGAGACACGUAGAGGCAAGCGGAAUUCCGGGUGUAGCGGUGGAAUGCGUAGAGAUCAGGAGGAACACCGGUGGCGAAGGCGGGUCUCUGGGCAGUAACUGACGCUGAGGAGCGAAAGCGUGGGGAGCGAACAGG